Non-coding RNA from Melospiza melodia melodia, 456 nucleotides. NCBI's taxonomy places the organism in Eukaryota, Metazoa, Chordata, Aves, Passeriformes, Passerellidae. The record is from the annotation of a RefSeq genome assembly.
CGGGCGGCCGUGACCCUGCUGGAGUGCGGGGGGGACCUCCAGCCCCCCGGGGGGUCCCUGCGCCUCCUCUGCCGAGGGGCCGGGUUUGAUUUUGGACAAUUUGGGAUGGGCUGGAUGCGUCAACGACCCGGGCAGGGGCUGGAAUUCGUCGCAGGGAUCACCAGCACUGGUGACAACGCCGGCUACGCGGAUUCAGUCAGGGGCCGGUUCACGAUCUCCAGGGACAACGGGCAGAGCUCGGUGACGCUGACCGUGAACAACCUCAAGGAUGAGGAUUCCGGAUCCUAUUUCUGCGCCAUACCUUAUUGUAGUGGUUGCUGGGCUGCUGGGAACAAUGGUGACGAUGUUGGUGAUUGCCUCCAGGCCAUGCUUUUUGCCCCACUCCCUUCAUUUUGUCACCAAAGCUCUGAUUUUCAUCCCAAACCUCUCAUCUUGACGCACUCCUUCACCUUUUGA